Molecule: ribosomal RNA, 572 nt
Filed under: uncultured bacterium
Lineage: Bacteria
Description: partial 16S ribosomal RNA
Rfam family: Bacterial small subunit ribosomal RNA
Source: RNAcentral
UGGGGAAUUUUGGACAAUGGGCGAAAGCCUGAUCCAGCAAUGCCGCGUGUGUGAAGAAGGCCUUCGGGUUGUAAAGCACUUUUGUCCGGAAAGAAAUCCUUGGCUCUAAUACAGUCGGGGGAUGACGGUACCGGAAGAAUAAGCACCGGCUAACUACGUGCCAGCAGCCGCGGUAAUACGUAGGGUGCAAGCGUUAAUCGGAAUUACUGGGCGUAAAGCGUGCGCAGGCGGUUUGCUAAGACCAAUGUGAAAUCCCCGGGCUCAACCUGGGAACUGCAUUGGUGACUGGCAGGCUAGAGUAUGGCAGAGGGGGGUAGAAUUCCACGUGUAGCAGUGAAAUGCGUAGAGAUGUGGAGGAAUACCGAUGGCGAAGGCAGCCCCCUGGGCCAAUACUGACGCUCAUGCACGAAAGCGUGGGGAGCAAACAGGAUUAGAUACCCUGGUAGUCCACGCCCUAAACGAUGUCAACUAGUUGUUGGGGAUUCAUUUCCUUAGUAACGUAGCUAACGCGUGAAGUUGACCGCCUGGGGAGUACGGUCGCAAGAUUAAAACUUAAAUGAAUUGACGGGGUC